GGCCUAGUGGCUCAGUUGGUUAGAGCGCCGCCCUGUCACGGCGGAGGUCGUCGGUUCGAGUCCGAUCUGGGUCGCGA
This 77-nucleotide transfer RNA is filed under the name Lachnospiraceae bacterium XPB1003. Its description in RNAcentral is "tRNA_Asp_GTC". It matches the Rfam family "tRNA". From Rfam's summary of the family: Transfer RNA (tRNA) molecules are approximately 80 nucleotides in length. Their secondary structure includes four short double-helical elements and three loops (D, anti-codon, and T loops). Further hydrogen bonds mediate the characteristic L-shaped molecular structure. tRNAs have two regions of fundamental functional importance: the anti-codon, which is responsible for specific mRNA codon recognition, and the 3' end, to which the tRNAs corresponding amino acid is attached (by aminoacyl-tRNA synthetases). tRNAs cope with the degeneracy of the genetic code in two manners: having more than one tRNA (with a specific anti-codon) for a particular amino acid; and 'wobble' base-pairing, i.e. permitting non-standard base-pairing at the 3rd anti-codon position. The record is from RNAcentral. Lineage: Bacteria; Bacillati; Bacillota; Clostridia; Lachnospirales; Lachnospiraceae.